Molecule: ribosomal RNA, 474 nt
Filed under: uncultured bacterium
Lineage: Bacteria
Description: bacterial SSU rRNA
Rfam family: Bacterial small subunit ribosomal RNA
Source: RNAcentral
GGAAGAAUGGGUUCUGGGGGAAUAUCCCGGAGCAGUGACGGUACCGAUUGAGGAAGCCACGGCUAACUCUGUGCCAGCAGCCGCGGUAAUACAGAGGUGGCAAGCGUUGUUCGGAAUUACUGGGCGUAAAGGGCGCGUAGGUGGCCUUUUCAGUCAGACGUGAAAUCCCCAGGCUUAACCUGGGAACUGCGUCUGAUACUGGAAGGCUUGAGUUCGGGAGAGGGAUGUGGAAUUCCAGGUGUAGCGGUGAAAUGCGUAGAUAUCUGGAGGAACACCGGUGGCGAAGGCGGCAUCCUGGACCGAAACUGACACUGAGGCGCGAAAGCCAGGGGAGCAAACGGGAUUAGAUACCCCGGUAGUCCUGGCCCUAAACGAUGAGUGCUUGGUGUGGCGGGUAUCGAUCCCUGCCGUGCCGAAGCUAACGCAUUAAGCACUCCGCCUGGGGAGUACGGUCGCAAGGCUGAAACUCAAAGG